GGCGCUGGUUGGCCCAUGGUCGGAUGAGGCAACGAAGGUGUCGAUUGGGUGAGAACCCUAGCCUUCGUCCCCUCCCUCCCUUCUCCCCCUCGCGCCGCCUCCCCAUCCUCUCCCGUCGCUGCUGUUCCCCCUGGCGCCGCCCCCAGCCUCAUCACCUGGACACGGCGACCAUGAGCGCCAGCGAGAGGAGGAAGGCUGGCGACGCGAGGGGCCCGACGGCCACCUCUGCGCGCGUGCCAUCGCCGUCACCACCAACGCCGGGGGCUACGGCCACGCAUCGCCAUCGCCGGGACGAGCGUCGGCCGCCGAGACGGCCGUCCACGUCGUUGUUGCCGUCGUCCUCGCCCCGACAGAUCGCCUCUCCGGCGCGGACUCCUCCUUCGACCACAACGCCGGCAAGUGGAACGGCAUCUUCUAGCAAUUGGAUGCGCACGGGAGGGUGUAGCAGGAGAUCAGCACGCGGCUGUCCGCCAGCACAUACGGGGAGGGUGACCUCAUCAUCCUCAUGCAAUCGCUGUAUAUCAAGCAGGCUUCGUCCGGGAUAACAUUUGCAGACGAAGAUGAUCCGGAGCCAGAGUGGGCGGAGUACAAGAUCAAAAAACCAACAUGUUCACCGUAGGGAUUAAUGGCUCGGAUGAAUGCACCAAAAAUAGUCCCCUGGAAAACGGAAUUCCAACUUUGAUUACAUGGAGUCAAGGAGGAAAUGAGGUCAUUUCUGGAGGGAUCAUGGGAUAACUGGACAUCAAGGAUUAUUGUUGAUGGGGUGCCGAGACAUGUGUCUAAACUACCUCAUGUGACUGAUGAAAGAGGGCAGGUGACCGACCUCCUUGAUAUCCAUGCCAACUAUGCAAUUUCUUCUAGCACCUGUGCCGUUGGUUGGAUGAUGUUUACGGAAGAAUAGAUGUCUUCCCGCAGCACUUCACGCCCAAGAAAGAGCCCAUGGAGGCAUGGACGCUGCCGAUGGUUUGUCCACAAGUAAGAGCAACAUGGAUCCGUCACCAAGUCCACGCAGGCGUUCUUGGACCCCGAAACGAGUCAAGGGAGCUUCGUCGCUUCUGCAACUGUUGUCUAUUCCUCGCAUUAGGUGGUCUUCCAGCAACAAGGAUGACGACAAGAUUGAAUUGACAAGAGCUGAAGUAGAAUCAUUACGAAGCGAAAUUGCCGAUGCCGAUGAAAGGGAGUCCCAGCUAAAAGCCCGGUUAGAAAAUAUUGACGAAGUCUUGAGAUAUGCAUUCCUUUCCAGGUACCUCCAUAUCAGAAGUAGAUGGACUCAACUUCCUGGGGAGCCACCUAUCAUAGACGACGCCGAUGUCGAUGACUGGCUUCCUCGCUUUGUUGUCCUACAAGCAGUGUUUAUACUACUAUCUGAAGUCUACAGACCUGAGCCCGCAGGAAUCGCUGCUGCUGCGCGACGUGGAACCCACGUCCUACCCCGACGAUGGCGGUCGACCACAACCUCCCUCUCAGGGGCUUACACCGUUGCGGUUCCUCAGGACUCGGAAGGAGGAGCGUGGGCCGUAGAGACGGAAGAGGAGGCUGAGACAGCCGCGGUGCCUGCUGCAGCGACCAUGGCCACUACAUCGAAAAGAAAGACAACAAAAUGUAUUAGGCCCCCUUGUGCUGGAUUGGGCUCAACCCAAUUAUAAAAGAGUAGCAAAUGAGAGGAACACAAGAAGUCAAGAAGACACCUUUCUCUCCAUGUCUAAGUUUCACGGUACCUCGCCUGGAUCCGGAAGUGCGGCUACGGCGACCUCGACAUAGUCAAGGAGAUUCUAAAAACUUAGCAAUGGCAGGGCUCCUGGAGCUCAAUCCUCACCACCAUCAGCAGAUGAUGAUGAUGCACAAGUGAUGGUUCAUCUGAAGAUGGCGCAGCAGAGCACCGGCAGCAACCACAUCAUGAAAGGGUCGAGGGAAGAUUAUCUGAUAUGUGUCACUGAAAGCGAAGGUAAAAUUCCAAUACAGCACCUUCAUAUUACCUGCCAAUUCACAAGUGCAUGUUCUGUAUCAAAAUUAACUGUUCCCUCUUCGUUACAUUGGUAUAUGUUCUGAAUGGGUUGAUGAAUAUCUUGGUAUAUGUAGUUUCAAAGCUUCAUUACAUUGUAGCAGGGAAAAUUGGUAUGAAGAUUGUGCAGCACCAUGCCUUAGCCAGCCCCUUAAUUUGCUAGAACAGAGGGCUAAUCUUCUUACUCAUUUGCCGCCUAAUUUAUAUGGUUCUGCUAUGAACCAUUCCUACUUUGGCAAUAAAUUGCAUCACUUUAUGCCAUAGAAGAACCAUAUAAAUCAGUAUCCGGCAACGGUGACGCGGGGCCAGGCACGAGGAGGGGUGGUGAGCCACCGGCGGCUGGGUUCCCCCCAAUCGCCCAGGUUGGGCGACACCUAAUUUAUAUGGUACAUAUUGAACAAAGG
Molecule: ribosomal RNA, 2406 nt
Filed under: Triticum aestivum (bread wheat)
Lineage: Eukaryota; Viridiplantae; Streptophyta; Magnoliopsida; Poales; Poaceae
Description: partial small subunit ribosomal RNA
Source: RNAcentral